UGGCAUGAAGUCAGACAAGUGA
This 22-nucleotide ribosomal RNA is filed under the name Symbiodinium sp. C33. Its description in RNAcentral is "partial 28S ribosomal RNA". RNAcentral also lists the same sequence under 2 other names. Lineage: Eukaryota; Dinophyceae; Suessiales; Symbiodiniaceae. The record is from RNAcentral.